GAUGAAGAACGCAGCGAAAUGCGAUAAGUAAUGUGAAUUGCAGAAUUCAGUGAAUCAUCGAAUCUUUGAACGCACAUUGCGCCCGCCAGUAUUCUGGCGGGCAUGCCUGUUCGAGCGUCAUUUCAACCCUCAGGCCCCCAGUGCCUGGUGUUGGGGAUCGGCCCAGCCUUCCUGUAAGGCCGCCGGCCCCGAAAUCUAGUGGCGGUCUCGCUGUAGUCCUCCUCUGCGUAGUAGCACAACCUCGCAGUUGGAACGCGGCGGUGGCCAUGCCGUUAAACACCCCACUUCUUCAAGGUUGACCUCGGAUCAGGUAGGAAUACCCGCUGAACUUAAGCAUAUCAAUAAGCGGAGGA
Molecule: unclassified non-coding RNA, 353 nt
Filed under: soil metagenome
Description: partial contains 5.8S ribosomal RNA, internal transcribed spacer 2, and large subunit ribosomal RNA
Rfam family: 5.8S ribosomal RNA (bases 1-120)
Source: RNAcentral